Molecule: transfer RNA, 65 nt
Filed under: Hydrophilidae sp. BMNH 1274336
Lineage: Eukaryota; Metazoa; Arthropoda; Insecta; Coleoptera; Hydrophilidae
Description: tRNA-Pro
Source: RNAcentral
CAGAGAAUAGUUUAAAUUAAAAUAUUAAUUUUGGAGAUUAACAAUAAGAGAGUUCUUUUCUCUGA